AAACGCAGGCUCCCUCGCGGGAGCCAGUGCAAACGAAACAGUUUUGGCACUAUAAGAGUUCAGCAGGGCUGUUCCGUAUGCUGUGGUUAAAAAGCACGAUUGAUAUUGGUAACACAUGAACCCCAUUCUCAUAAAUCGUUUACAAAAAAAACUGGGCUAUACUUUC
Molecule: small RNA, 166 nt
Filed under: Lonsdalea britannica
Lineage: Bacteria; Pseudomonadati; Pseudomonadota; Gammaproteobacteria; Enterobacterales; Pectobacteriaceae
Description: rncO
Rfam family: rncO
About the family: This family represents a bacterial regulatory element (rncO) found in the rnc leader sequence. The rnc operon is negatively auto-regulated by transcript stability. rnc, the first gene in the operon codes for RNase III which cleaves the long rncO stem II leading to transcript degradation and a reduction in translation.
Source: RNAcentral